RNAcentral lists this ribosomal RNA (877 nucleotides) under uncultured bacterium. RNAcentral describes it as "bacterial SSU rRNA". It matches the Rfam family "Bacterial small subunit ribosomal RNA", at positions 33 to 900 of the family's 1533-position model. The record is from RNAcentral.
ACGCUAGCUACAGGCUUAACACAUGCAAGUCGAGGGGAAACGACAUCGAAAGCUUGCUUUUGAUGGGCGUCGACCGGCGCACGGGUGAGUAACGCGUAUCCAACCUGCCCAUCACUUGGGGAUAACCUUGCGAAAGUAAGACUAAUACCCAAUGAUAUCUCUAGAAGACAUCUGAAAGAGAUUAAAGAUUUAUCGGUGAUGGAUGGGGAUGCGUCUGAUUAGCUUGUUGGCGGGGUAACGGCCCACCAAGGCGACGAUCAGUAGGGGUUCUGAGAGGAAGGUCCCCCACAUUGGAACUGAGACACGGUCCAAACUCCUACGGGAGGCAGCAGUGAGGAAUAUUGGUCAAUGGACGAGAGUCUGAACCAGCCAAGUAGCGUGCAGGAUGACGGCCCUAUGGGUUGUAAACUGCUUUUAUAAGGGAAUAAAGUGAGUCUCGUGAGACUUUUUGCAUGUACCUUAUGAAUAAGGACCGGCUAAUUCCGUGCCAGCAGCCGCGGUAAUACGGAAGGUCCGGGCGUUAUCCGGAUUUAUUGGGUUUAAAGGGAGCGUAGGCCGGAGAUUAAGCGUGUUGUGAAAUGUAGACGCUCAACGUCUGCACUGCAGCGCGAACUGGUUUCCUUGAGUACGCACAAAGUGGGCGGAAUUCGUGGUGUAGCGGUGAAAUGCUUAGAUAUCACGAAGAACUCCGAUUGCGAAGGCAGCUCACUGGAGCGCAACUGACGCUGAAGCUCGAAAGUGCGGGUAUCGAACAGGAUUAGAUACCCUGGUAGUCCGCACGGUAAACGAUGGAUGCCCGCUGUUGGUCUGAAUAGGUCAGCGGCCAAGCGAAAGCAUUAAGCAUCCCACCUGGGGAGUACGCCGGCAACGGUGAAAC